Molecule: small nuclear RNA, 40 nt
Filed under: Cervus elaphus hippelaphus
Lineage: Eukaryota; Metazoa; Chordata; Mammalia; Artiodactyla; Cervidae
Source: RNAcentral
AUCGCUUCUCAGUUUUUCAGCUAAAAUCAAGUGUAGAAUC